RNAcentral lists this non-coding RNA (112 nucleotides) under human gut metagenome. RNAcentral's name for it is "SAM riboswitch (S box leader)". It matches the Rfam family "SAM riboswitch aptamer (S box leader)". Rfam says of the family: The SAM riboswitch is found upstream of a number of genes which code for proteins involved in methionine or cysteine biosynthesis in Gram-positive bacteria. The SAM riboswitch acts at the level of transcription termination control. The predicted structure consists of a complex stem-loop region followed by a single stem loop terminator region. The record is from RNAcentral.
CUUAUCAAGAGUGACCGAGGGAACAGGCCCGAUGACGUCCGGCAACCAUCGCAUGACAGCGUAACUGCGAGAAGGUGCCAAGUCCUGCAGAAUAGUGUUCUGAAAGAUGAGG